Molecule: transfer RNA, 106 nt
Filed under: Promethearchaeota archaeon
Lineage: Archaea; Promethearchaeati; Promethearchaeota
Description: Candidatus Lokiarchaeota archaeon (microbial mat metagenome) tRNA-Arg
Source: RNAcentral
AGGCCCGUGGCCCAGACUGGAUAGGUAGCGCCCUCCUAAGGCGAAGAUCGGGAGUUCGAAAUGUGGACUUUCAAUUCGAAAGCUCAAGAAAAUCUCCCCGGGCCUG